RNAcentral lists this ribosomal RNA (439 nucleotides) under uncultured bacterium. Its description in RNAcentral is "partial 16S ribosomal RNA". It matches the Rfam family "Bacterial small subunit ribosomal RNA", at positions 339 to 795 of the family's 1533-position model. The record is from RNAcentral.
CUACGGGGUGCACCAGUGAGGAAUAUUGCACAAUGGGGGGAACCCUGAUGCAGCAACGCCGCGUGGAGGAUGACGCAUUUCGGUGUGUAAACUCCUUUUAUAUGUCAAGAAAAUGACGGUAGCAUAUGAAUAAGCACCGGCUAACUCCGUGCCAGCAGCCGCGGUAAUACGGAGGGUGCAAGCGUUACUCGGAAUCACUGGGCGUAAAGGACGCGUAGGCGGGUUGGAAAGUCAGGUGUGAAAUCCUACAGCUUAACUGUAGAACUGCACUUGAAACUUCUAAUCUAGAGUAUGGGAGGGGGAGAUGGAAUUAGUGGUGUAGUGGUAAAAUCCGUAGAUAUCACUAGGAACACCUAAAGCGAAGGCGAUCUCCUGGAACAUUACUGACGCUAAUGCGUGAAAGCGUGGGGAGCAAACAGGAUUAGAUACCCGGGUAGUC